GAACGAGGAUAUAUCCUUCGGGAUAUAAGCCGAGUGGCACAAGGGUGAGUAAUGCAUAGAUUACCUACCUUUAGGAUAAGGACAACUUUGUGAAAACGAAGCUAAUACUUAAUAAUACAAAAGAAAUAAUUUUCUUUUGUCAAAGGGAGGGUAGCAAUACCUUUCGCCUGGAGAGGGGUUUAUGUCCUAUCAGCUUGUUGGUGGGGUAAUGGCCUACCAAGGCGAAGACGGGUAGCCGGUUUAAGAGGAUGGUCGGCCACACUGGGACUGAGACACUGCCCAGACUUCUACGGAAGGCUGCAGUCGAGAAUCUUUCGCAAUGCCCGAAAGGGUGACGAAGCGACGCCGCGUGGGUGAGGAAGGCCUUCGGGUUGUAAAGCCCUGUCAGGAGUUAAGAAAUGUAAGUUCGUUAAUACCGUACUUAUUUGACAAAGGCUCCAAAGGAAGCCACGGCUAACUCUGUGCCAGCAGCCGCGGUAAUACAGAGGUGGCGAGCGUUGUUCGGAAUUAUUGGGCGUAAAGAGCACGUAGGUGGGUUUGCAAGUCAGAUGUGAAAGCCUUCUGUUCAACGGAAGAAUUGCAUCUGAAACUGCUAAUCUUGAGUAUAGGAGGGGAGAAUGGAACUUCUGGUGGAGCGGUGAAAUGCGUAGAUAUCAGAAGGAACGCCGGCGGCGAAAGCGAUUCUCUGGCCUAUUACUGACACUCAGUGUGCGAAAGCUAGGGGAGCAAACGGGAUUAGAUACCCCGGUAGUCCUAGCCGUAAACGAU
Molecule: ribosomal RNA, 768 nt
Filed under: uncultured Planctomycetota bacterium
Lineage: Bacteria; Pseudomonadati; Planctomycetota
Description: bacterial SSU rRNA
Rfam family: Bacterial small subunit ribosomal RNA
Source: RNAcentral